ACUUAUUAAUUUAUAUAGGAUGCUGAAGCAUGUAAUCACCUUACUGUUGUUGUUUUUUUUUUGGUGGUAUGAAAUCUGUUUCCAUGGAAAUACACUGGGAAUAUUCAAAUGAGGUGUUAUUCAUGAGCUGAACGUUUGUAAAGCACAGUAGCAGACGCUGCUGUAAACUAACAGUCUUCUUUGCCUUUAAGUGCCUGUGAACAAUACCUGGAUGUGAUGAGUGAGCAGCACUGCUUGCAGCUCCAACACCGCUCACUACGACUUCACCGCUUUUCCAUAACGUCUGCCAAGGUCACAUCCAUUUGUCGUCAGCCGCUAAAUCUGGUCACGGUGUCGAUCCCGGCCGACACUGGCCGAGAGUCGGGGUACAUUCAGGACACGUCGCCCUGUUCAUCACAGAUAUGAGGUACAGUAUAUAAACAACAGGUGCACUAACCUGCGGAGAGCAUGCAGGGCGCCGUCCAUAUUCCAUCAACAAGAUGCUCCCAGAGAAACACGAUGAAUAUCAAGUACACGAUGCCGGGACUUGUGUCUGAGUGUUGAGGGGUUUGCUUUGUCUCUCUCAGAGCGAAAUCCUUUCUCACCUUCGACACACAGACUCUUUGUGUUAUUCAGUGGGAUUCAGCCACAUUGUGCGAGUGUCAGAAAUACAGUCUGUGAAGCACAAUAUAUACGUGAACAGCAUUCUACAGGUGGUUAAUAUUCUGUGUCCAGUGAUCCUUAUACACGCUGCAAGGAAAAAUACCAAAUAAAACAGGAAAAUAUACAAUUUGAUAUAUCAGAGUCUGAUGGUCUUAUCAGGUAUAAACAUUAGAGAAUGACGUGACUGCCGACUGAAACAAAGACAUGUAGUCCACCACAUGUAGACUGUAUUAUUUGAUGGGAAAUAUGUGGGUCAGCUGGUUGAAUAAACUCUGUGUGACUGAAAUGUCCUUAAAAAAUUAUAAAAUGCAG
Molecule: long non-coding RNA, 954 nt
Filed under: Sparus aurata (gilthead seabream)
Lineage: Eukaryota; Metazoa; Chordata; Actinopteri; Spariformes; Sparidae
Description: lncRNA (ENSSAUG00010011134.1)
Source: RNAcentral